Long non-coding RNA from Herpailurus yagouaroundi (jaguarundi), 384 nucleotides. RefSeq lists it as uncharacterized. The transcript is spliced from 4 exons. The record is from RefSeq and is a predicted model, not a curated record. NCBI's taxonomy places the organism in Eukaryota, Metazoa, Chordata, Mammalia, Carnivora, Felidae.
CCAAAACCCCAAUGUAGAAAGAUGGGGAGAGUGAAAUCAGAAACAUCCAAGAAUGGACCUUGCUUUCAGAAGAAAUAACAGUUUGCAGUUAGCAUUAUAUGCUUUGGGUAAUUAAUUUCAUAAGUCAAGAAGAAGCUUGAUCAUUGAUAAGAAAAUAAGCCGGAAAAGAAGGAGAAGCUUUAUGUCUAAACUCUCAUUCAUUGAGCAACCACAUAAAAGUAAAGAUUUCAGAGGAGGAGAAAUUCUAAGUGAUGAAAAGGCCCAGAAUAUGCCCUUGGAAAUUAAUGGCUAGAGUGGAGAUGAAGGUUACUGGAGUAUAAGAGAUCAAGAAAUGGAUUGAGAGAGACAGAGCAUGAAUGGGGAGGGGCAGAGAGAGAGGGAGAC